This 237-nucleotide unclassified non-coding RNA is filed under the name Hevea brasiliensis (rubber tree). Lineage: Eukaryota; Viridiplantae; Streptophyta; Magnoliopsida; Malpighiales; Euphorbiaceae. The record is from RNAcentral.
UUCUUUCUUUUUUUUUCUUUUUUGAUUGUUUUAUUUUUUUGGGGGGGGGCUCUUGCUUUCUCUAUGAUUUUAACACCUUGAGCUCAGUGGUUUCAAAUGGGAAUUUCAAAGGUGUAAUUGAUUGGAUAUUUGUUUGUGCACAUGAGAAAUAAGAUGUCAAUUUAUGUACUGUUUGGCUUUCGUAUAAGAACAUGGUAUAGAAGAAAAUAAAUAAAUUUUACUCCGUGUGGUUCCAAG